CCCCCGCCUGCGGACGCGCCGCACGGGGCAGGUGCCCGGUUCACCGCGCGCCGCGGGCGGGGCUGGAGCUCUGCGGCGGAGCGUACCCGCCCGGAGCCCGGAAUCGGGCGCGGGGAAGCCGAGGGUACCACGGACCUCCCGGCGACUUGGGCGAGUGUACACGGCACAGAUCAUCCAGGAAAAACAGAAGAUAGUCUUAGAGGAACUCAAUCAAAAUGCUGACUUAUUUGAGGAUGGCUUCUGUGUUGCAGUAUAGACAGAAGUUAAGAAACAAUGGUUCUGAAAUCAGAAACAUCUGCAUUCUGGUCUGCUACCUGCCACUUAAUAGCUGAAUGAGUUGGGUAAGCCGCUUCUUUCUUUUUUUUUUUUUUUAAAGAUUUUAUUUAUUUAUUCAUGAGAGACACACACAGAGAGAGGGAGAGACAUA
RNAcentral lists this long non-coding RNA (427 nucleotides) under Vulpes vulpes (red fox). Its description in RNAcentral is "lncRNA (ENSVVUG00000014111.1)". The record is from RNAcentral. Lineage: Eukaryota; Metazoa; Chordata; Mammalia; Carnivora; Canidae.